Molecule: long non-coding RNA, 922 nt
Organism: Silurus meridionalis
Lineage: Eukaryota; Metazoa; Chordata; Actinopteri; Siluriformes; Siluridae
Exons: 3
Source: RefSeq, a predicted model, not a curated record
CAUACACAUUCACAUACACAUACACACACUCACACACAUGCAUGCCUGAGGCAGGAAGUGUUCACACUGACCAGCCAAUACAGACACAGAGAGACUGAGAGACAGAGAAUAAGAGAGUGUUAGCAUCUCUGACAGCUUGCAGCAGAGCAGUGGAGGGGAGUGAGACUGAGUGAGAUCACUGAACAGAGACAAAAUGGCAGCUGGUCAUUUGAGGCACAUCAUCGUGUCACCUGCUUCAGGCAGGAGACGAGUGAGAAAAUGGUGAUAGAUGGCAAGGUAGCAAAAGGGGGAGUGCUACUUCACCUCCCAGGUUAUUUUCCUGCCAGCAGUUGUCUGUUAGUGUGUGUGGGUGUGUGUGUGUGUGUGUGUGUGUGUGUGUGUGUGUGUGUGUGUGUGUGUGUUAUAGAUAAUCCAGUGACUGCACUCUCUCCCAUACUCCUGAUAUGACGUGAAGUUACACUUACAUUUUACAUUAUACUGCUCUCCAGCGAAACUCUACAUUUCAGUCUGAUGACAUCAGGACUGACAUUCGUCCAAAAUUCGCCAGUGCUAAAAGGAAUAAUUUCAGAAAAUACAGCUUGUCACUUUGCAGUGAAAACCUGAAGAGUGAACACCUCCGUCCUGAAGACUAUCCUUCACUAGGAAACUUGCACCAUGGUCGUUACAAAGCACUGACAGCCGGCACGCCUUUGAUAAAUGUUCAAAAACAAUUUGCCACAGUCUUCGAUUAUGUGGGAGGAUCGCUAUACAAGCCAUCAGUGUAAGAGCUGUUACUAAAACAUCACUAGCUUAUUAUACAACAAGAGCAUUCAGAUGACCCUGUCAGUCAAAAUACAGACUAAACAACUGUCUAAUCUGCAUUAUUAUACAAAUCUAAUACACUCCUUUUGACCAAUCAGAUUUCAAAAACACAGCAAUUGGU